GCAUUUUUCGUAAUGCUGAAGGCACGGGAGCGAACCCCCCUGGUUUUGUCCAUGGUUUUGUCUGUUACACUGAACUCUUUAAUGGGGUCUGUUAUUUGAAUUGAUUUUGUUAGGUAAAGAUUGAAGGCACUGUGACUAUAAAUAAUGGAAGGCUCGUUGCUGUCGGCGGUUCUGAAGACAGCGGUUCGAUCCAGCUGAAGGACGUCACCUGGCAGAAAGUUGCAGAGUGUGGUGGCCAGUAUCAAGCCACAUUGUCCAGAAACCAUCACAUUAUCUCCAGGUCACUAGUCGCCGGUGCUCGAGCUGAUGGCGUCGUUCAAGGGCUCCACGCUGCCGCCGCCGCCGCGACCAUCCGACUCCUGGGCCCUGUUUCACGGCAGCGUACUGCAGCGUGCUACGCAGCGCUGCUGUGUUAGUGCGGCGAUUGAGACGAAUUCGGCUCGACGCUCCAGCGUUGCGAAACACCCGUGUUUGGGGUUUGGUAUUUUAACGGGCUCUCCGAUGACGUCCCGCAAUUUGUGUUAUAUAAUUUGACGAUUAUGUCGUAGUCUCAUUCUGUCUCGAUAUGCUAAUAAAUGAUAAAUGGGACGGAGGUUGGAAGUAAGGUGUGAGUGGCUGUAACCGGCAGGUUUUGGCGAGCGCGAUAUUAGUUAUCGUGAGCGCGCCAGCUGCAAUCAAUCGCGCGCUUCUGGCGAGAAAAUACUUGCUCUGGAACCUAGAAGUUUGUCGUGAAAUCUAUGUACCUUUGGAUUGAAUUAUUAGAACAUAAUGUACUUUCGGUGUCCAGCACUGCAGCUCUGGAAACAGAAAUAUGGAUGUUGGCUGUUUGAUGUAGCAAGGGCUAACAAUCCGCGUCAAGAAUCAAAAGCUGUAUGCAAAUUAAAGUGAAUAUAUUUCAAUGAAUUUUUUAAUUUUGUGAUACAAAACAUAAAUGUGUCAACUACUGAUUACACCCGGCUGCAAACACUGUAACGCUUGCAAUGCUGUACGGCAAAUAGAUAAUAUAGAUUCUC
Amphibalanus amphitrite is the source of this 1013-nucleotide long non-coding RNA. RefSeq lists it as uncharacterized. The transcript is spliced from 3 exons. The record is from RefSeq and is a predicted model, not a curated record. Lineage: Eukaryota; Metazoa; Arthropoda; Thecostraca; Balanomorpha; Balanidae.